UGCCAGCAGCCGCGGUAAUACGGAGGGAGCGAGCGUUAAUCGGAAUUACUGGGCGUAAAGCGCGCGUAGGCGGCUUUGUAAGUCGGAUGUGAAAGCCCUGGGCUCAACCUGGGAAUGGCAUUCGAAACUGCAGAACUAGAGUAUGGUAGAGGGAAGUGGAAUUUCCGGUGUAGCGGUGAAAUGCGUAGAUAUCGGAAGGAACACCGGUGGCGAAGGCGACUUCCUGGGCCAAUACUGACGCUGAGGCGCGAAGGCCAGGGUAGCGAAAGGGAUUAGAUA
This 279-nucleotide ribosomal RNA is filed under the name uncultured bacterium. Its description in RNAcentral is "partial 16S ribosomal RNA". It matches the Rfam family "Bacterial small subunit ribosomal RNA", at positions 506 to 784 of the family's 1533-position model. The record is from RNAcentral.